UACGUAGGCAGCGAGCGUUGUUCGGAGUUACUGGGCGUAAAGGGUGUGUAGGCGGUUGUUUAAGUUUGGUGUGAAAUCCCUCAGCUUAACUGGGGAACUGCGUCUGAUACUGGAUGGCUUGAGUUUGGGAGAGGGAUGCGGAAUUCCAGGUGUAGCGGUGAAAUGCGUAGAUAUCUGGAGGAACACCGGUGGCG
RNAcentral lists this ribosomal RNA (194 nucleotides) under uncultured prokaryote. Its description in RNAcentral is "partial 16S ribosomal RNA". It matches the Rfam family "Bacterial small subunit ribosomal RNA", at positions 524 to 717 of the family's 1533-position model. The record is from RNAcentral.